RNAcentral lists this long non-coding RNA (2768 nucleotides) under Hordeum vulgare. RNAcentral describes it as "long non-coding RNA (HVUL_LNC009886)". Lineage: Eukaryota; Viridiplantae; Streptophyta; Magnoliopsida; Poales; Poaceae. The record is from RNAcentral.
UCGGACACACCAUUACGAUGUGGUGUUCCACGCGGGUUUAACUGUGAAACAAUUCCACAUUGUCUUAAGUCAGCACCAAACUCGUAACUCAGAUAUGCCAGGACCGGUUUUUCGGGGAUUUUAAUUUCCCUUCAAAAUGGCCCUUAUGCAUACCAGCCCCAGGCAUAUUGUUAGCUGGUGCACAAAUGCUUGAUACAAAUGUCCGAGAAAAAUUACAAACCUGAAGUACAAGACCGAUAUGGUCCUUAGGGUACAGCAAAAGGUUUCUAAAGGUUGAUGGCGGAAGCGGUUUGGGGAUCUCCAGCGUCUAUGGGACUCCAUUUCCCAUAGGAACAGCUCGCCUGGAUAAUUCCUAUCUCACACGGUUGUUGUCUUCGGUGCCUAGGUUCCGGGUUUAUCAUUGAGUUCCUCCUCUCCAAGCAUACAAUCUGGCCAAGACAAUAGCAUGGGACAAGCCACUGAGUACUUUGAAUGUACUUGCAAACAUCAUGAAACAAACAUAAAUUGGGAGGGUUAAUAUACACUUGUAAUGAUACCACAGUACUUCAUCAACCCUGAUGUACUUCUCAAGUACUAUAAAUGUGAAUAUAAUCUUACUGAGAAAUUAAUAAGCAAUCAUUAAGAGUAAAGUGAACGGAUAUGAUAUAAAACAUGCCUCCGUCGGGUGUUUGAGCGACACCACAUACAUGGCUUGAAUAAAAUAAUAACAAGCGUGCCACAGUCGGGUGUCUAAGCGACACCACAUAAAGGGCUUAUAUGAAAUAAUAAACAUGCCUCAGUCGAGCGUCUAAGAGACACCACAUAAAGGGCUUAUAUGAAAUGAUAAUGAAUAAAGAAUAUCUAGGAUGUAGAACCAUCCCAGGUAUAUUCAACAAUCAUAAUCAUAGGGUUAGUCCACAGAAAAGAAUGUUUAUAACCAUCCACCAUAAUUCUUGAUUAGUCUCACAAUUCUUUAACUACCUUCGAAGACCGACACUUGACUAGUCAACCAGUCGUCCUUUACCGUGGACACAGCUACUCGAAUAGUUUUGACUCUGCACAGGGUGUACUCUUUACCCAUAGCCCAUGGGUUUCAAUAGUCACUCAGACUAAUCAUGCGUACAGUAUCUUAGAAGUAAACAGUCAGAACCAUUACACACCCAUUCUUCUUCUGCGAAGACCGAUAUCUCUCGGACUACACUGUUGGAGAAGAACCAUAAGUCGGGAAGGCUCCAACCUCGAAUAGCAUGGGAUCAAAUUUAUACUGCAUGCUAAUAGGGGAGAGCUUUUCCCAUCUCGGUCCUAGACCGAAAACACCCAUGCCCCCCGACCGGAUGACUGGAUUUAGUCGAUGGUCGUGGAUACCUUCAUCCCGGCCCCUCUUCUUCGUGUGUACCUAGUAAUAGGUUUACGACCUACUGAACCAUAUCCCCUUUAUGGAAGAUGUGGCGGCACGGAUGGGUUAAGGUGAAAUACUGACCAGACUCGAUAUACGGUCGACAGAGGAGGUUUAAAUUAUUCCAUGCAUGAUUAGCAAAAUAAAAGGAUUUCACCACCGUAGACAGGGUCACUACCUAUCAUGCCCCUCAUGCCUCACUGACCAUACUCGUGCCACGAGAUGUCAGUCCCACAGUCGUAUCUCCCCGAGACACCGACUCUCUUCGGAUCCCAUCCGAGAGGCAUGUGUGGCACAAAGAUAUGACUUCUAUCUUAUCCAUCUCACUCAUGCAAUCAUCAUACAUUCGAACAUAAAGCCAUAUGCUUGAUCAUCACAUGAAAUACCGUCAAUAAUAACAUAAUCAUAGUGUUUGCUUUAACAAACAAAAACACACACAACCAACACAUGUCAAGUUUCAUGAUGCUUGCCUUCUAAGUGUAGAGAGGUAGGGUUUCACUUCAAAACUUUUGCAAGUUUUCUGCUCCUCUCAACAUAGCCUAUAUUUUGAAAAUAUACUAAUUAAAACCCAAUAAAAAACAUUACAGAAAAUUGUCUUAGCAAAUUUUCAAAUAAAUACAAAAAUAAAAUUGAUGAAAUUUCAAACAAGUGAGAAAAAGAAUCAAUCUAUUUGGAUUAUUAUAUUAGGAGUUAGAGCCGGUCAAAGUUGAGUCAACAUUCUAUUAAAAUCAAAUCUAAAAAACGUUUCUGCAGAAAAGGCGCAACCGCAAGGAGGAAACGUAGCUGGCUAAAGGCGCGUCCACCUAAGUGGCUUCGGCUCAGCUCUGACGCUGGCGAGGAGGGCCCACUAGCAGGCUUGACUGGGUCAAACCGGUCUUCUUCCUCCUCUGGCCGAGGGGAGAUGAGGCCUCCGGUGAGGUUCGCCAGUGACUGGGGCCAUCAACCUUGAAUUCGAGGGCAUCCUCGUGCUGAGGGUUCCAAGGCAACUCUGGGGAGAGGUGUCACGGCCUCCGGGGAGCGAGGGGGCUCCAGUGGCUACAGAGCCGGCGGACGGCGGCGCGGGCCAGCCAGGGGCUUCGUCCACGGUCUACCUCGAGCUCACCAGAGAGCGGGAAACGAUCACCACACUCAUGCAGUUCCAUUCCAAGGAAAAACGGCAACGGAGGGGCACGGCUGGCUGCGAAUUGGGUCGGAGGGGCAGCGGCCAAAGUUUGACCAGAGACAGAGAAGACGACAGCUCCGGUCGAAUUGGAGGAAAGGGAGGUUUGCUAUGGCUAUCAGAGAGCUUGUGUGAGCUACAAUGCAGCUCCACGGGCCUAUUUAUAGCUGCGGGACAUCAGUUCUACGAUGGCAGAGGAUAAGAUCAUCGGCAUCAUCCUCUGUGACCGCAGAG